Molecule: long non-coding RNA, 145 nt
Organism: Haliotis rubra (blacklip abalone)
Lineage: Eukaryota; Metazoa; Mollusca; Gastropoda; Lepetellida; Haliotidae
Exons: 2
Source: RefSeq, a predicted model, not a curated record
GCAAAUACGGAUACGGCAUGGGAGGUCUGUAUGGAGGACUUGGAGGAUUUGGAGGCUAUGGUGGUCUCUACGGAAUGGCAGGCUACGGAAUCGGACUAGGAAAAGGAAUCGGCUACUACUGAGUUACUGUCACCUGCAGUGUGAA